RNAcentral lists this ribosomal RNA (253 nucleotides) under uncultured bacterium. RNAcentral's name for it is "partial 16S ribosomal RNA". It matches the Rfam family "Bacterial small subunit ribosomal RNA", at positions 524 to 776 of the family's 1533-position model. The record is from RNAcentral.
UACGUAGGAUGCAAGCGUUGUCCGGAAUUAUUGGGCGUAAAGAGCGAGCAGGCGGUUUAUCAAGUCAGAUGUAAAAUAUCCCGGCUUAACCGGGAGGGGCCAUUUGAAACUGAUGGACUAGAGUGGAGCAGAGGAUAGUGGAAUUCCCGGUGUAGUGGUGAAAUGCGUAGAUAUCGGGAGGAACACCAGUGGCGAAGGCGACUAUCUGGGCUUUAACUGACGCUGAGGCGCGAAGGCCGGGGGAGCAAACAGG